ACGUGAGAAAAUAAUAUUUCAUGUUUAGUGCACAGUAAUAAAUUGCAUUGAAAUAACAACAAAGUGAAGAACCAAAUUUGUUUGUGUUACGCUUAUAAGAGGUUAAUUGUAAUUUCGUUGAAUUUAAAGAAGUUUGCCUG
RNAcentral lists this small RNA (140 nucleotides) under Drosophila erecta. RNAcentral describes it as "GG26728". The record is from RNAcentral. Lineage: Eukaryota; Metazoa; Arthropoda; Insecta; Diptera; Drosophilidae.